AUACUACCUAUACUCAGCCUGGUUGCCCUACUGUAUGCAGGGAUUGGGCUUUUUUGGGGUUUUUUUAAUUAAAAAGCAAGAAGUUCAGAGGUCAACAUAGGCUUCCAAGCAAAAUAUUGGCCAAUUUGGACCAAACAUCAUGUCCUGCAACAUAAGAGGGAUCUUCACACAAAAAAGAAGCAAGUAACAAUCUGUUUCAUCCUUGUGACUCAAGUCUGGGUUUGGCGUUACAGAGCGUAAGUGGCAAACUAUGCUGCAUCUACACUCCAUUGUCUCCUGCAAUUAUUUCUCACAGAGCAAAGAAAACCUCAAGACACAAAAAGAUCUACACCCAACAUGCAGUGACAUCUGGCUGCCUUUUCCACCAGGGUUCAGCAGCUCUUCGUUAUUUAGGUAACCACUGUGAACUGUUAAUUCUAUGUUUAUUGUCUUCAAAUUAUUAUGAUCUUCACCUUUACAUACCAACGUUUCUAGAUUCAAUACAUUACUCAUUCCAUAAAAUUAUCUGUAUUUAUUUUUUAAAGAUAGUAAUACCCCCAUGAAUAAAACAAAAAAAAUAGUCCUUUUUUCCAAGACAAAAAUCUUAUUUCCCUCCUCUUUCCUGCUAUUCAGUAUAUAAUACUACAGAAGGACAUCAAUGAGAAAACCUUCCCAUUUUCUUCCUUUAUGUCAAUAUACAGCAGAUGUCCUCUGAAAGCUGAUAAAUAGUACAAAAUGGGUGCAGUGUUUACUUUUGGAGGGCGGAUGUUAGGAAGUCAGGCUCAAGAAACUGAGACAGCCUUACCUUGAACAUUCAUCAGUGAGCAAAGUGAGAUAACUGUGUGUCUUGGAAGUGCUCUGUUCCCAGCCUCUGGAAUCCCAGGUUCCCAUUCUGAACAUUGAUCUUUUUCAUAGCAAUAUCCCACUGUCAGCCUAACCGUCCACCUAUCUUACUAAAAUAACUACUGCAAAAGUAGCACCAUCUUAUUCUGCAUAAACCAUCUGCCAGACAUGUGUUUGAAUUCUGUAAAAUUCACUCAAAUUACUUGAGCAAGUCGUACAUUCCUCAGGGAAAGUCUUCUGGGCUACCUGGAAUUUUUAUUUUGUAAGAGAAUUAGUAAUGCACACUAUCAACCUUAGUAAUGCAGGGGAAAAAAAGUGCAGGUGCAGCACACGUCUACUGAGGUUGCUGCCUGUUUCACAUACCCUGUCCAGCCCUAAAUAGCUACAGAAUGUGCCAAUCCACUGACCCCAAGAGAUUGAUAGCCUUUAAAAAGAGAUUCAUAAGAAUUGGAUUUAAUUCCAGUACUGGCAUGAACUCCUGAAUUACCUCAAAUAUUUUGAUCUUGCUGCCCCCCUUCAACCAUUGCAAAGUAAGAGAAGACUGAUUUUGUGAUUCAUGAAUGCUGAAACAAACUUGGUGCAUUAGAAGUUCACACUGAAUAUUCUAGAGCUUUUGCAAUGUUAAAGGACAAAGUAUUUAGGAAAGUUGCAUUUGCCUGAGGUACAACAGUUCCUAAAUGAAACCUCAUUUAAUAGACAAAAGCAGUACAAGUGAAUGUCAUGAAGAAAUCAAUAUUCUCUUCAGAAAAAAAAAAGACAGCAAAACAUACAUCCAAUAAUUUGACAGUACACACAUCUCUGGACUUUGGGACAAAGGACUCAGACAGAGAAAUGCAAUAUUUAACUUUUGUCAGCCUCUUCAUUCUAAUGGCUUUUGCUGUUUCGCAAAAUCACAGUUUUUGAGAAAGCCACUAGAAGGUAAAAUUCUCGUGAGCAAAUACAAGAGUAAUUAAAGGUUACAAAC
Passer domesticus (house sparrow) is the source of this 1786-nucleotide long non-coding RNA. RefSeq lists it as uncharacterized. Lineage: Eukaryota; Metazoa; Chordata; Aves; Passeriformes; Passeridae. The transcript has 3 exons. The record is from RefSeq and is a predicted model, not a curated record.